AUCCUACUGUGUACAUCUCUGUACACACUCUAUUCAGCGAGCUACCUAUAGAUGCAUUAUGACGUCAUACACUUGUAAAAUUAAAGUUUCAUUUUCACUUUUGUUUCUAAGAAGUGAACUUAAAUUUUCAGAAAAUGUAGGACUAUCUUUUGUUUUUCCUCUCUUUUUCUAUGAUGAUUGUUAUGCUAUGAAGCUUUCCUUGUAUAAAGCUCAAUUUCUCUAUGAUCACUGAAGUAAUCAUCCUGAUGCAUUCUUGCCAUAUGAAUGUUGAGACCAUGUUCUGACAGACAUAUUCCACAGGAUCAGCUGAGAUGUUAUUUCACUGGAUUAUUUAAUUGAUAGACUUAUUAGGCAUAUAUUUGGAUAUCUCUGUCAUCAACAUGGAAGAUAUGUUUUGUUCCUCUAUGAACUUCAGACUGUCUGCUCUUCCUUUGGAAAUAUACAUUUAAUCAAGCAACAUAGAAACACACAAACUUGAAGGAUAUUCUAGUGAGGGCUUGUGGAAAUGAUCUAUGUCUACUCUCAGAAUGGUGAAAGACUAUCAGAUUAUGCAAAGACUAACAGAAUAUCCUCUCUUGGAACACUGAAACAAGAAAAUCAAACAGGAGGUGGAUGGAGGAUUUAAGAAGCACAUAAAUAAAUAUGAGUUCCAACCAAUUUAAGUACGAUCAUAGACUGUGGUUUACAGGAUGACAAAGAAAGGACCCAGGAUUGUAUCUUUUACUGUCAGACACUGACUUUGGAUAAGAUGUAGCCAUUUAUCAAACUGAGAUCUAGUCAAAUCAAGUACUGAGAACAUGAUUUUCAGAUAGCAUGAGCUCUUUAAAAACUAAUUCUCACAGACCUCAAAGUAUCUGGAUGUGACUUUUAUUUUUUACCAAUUCAUAUUGAAGACUGUUGUAAUGUAUGAUUUUUAUACAUUGGAUCCUUUAUUUUUCAUCUAAUUUCUACAACCCCUAACAAAUUACACAGAUGUUUAAAAACCAGCUUUGGUGUAAUUAUUACUUUCCUGGAUCUGUAAAUACAUUUUGUUUGUGUAUGUGUGUGUCCUAUUUUGAAUUUAAUAGGUCUC
Saccostrea cuccullata (small rock oyster) is the source of this 1072-nucleotide long non-coding RNA. RefSeq lists it as uncharacterized. The record is from RefSeq and is a predicted model, not a curated record. NCBI's taxonomy places the organism in Eukaryota, Metazoa, Mollusca, Bivalvia, Ostreida, Ostreidae. The transcript has 4 exons.